This 53-nucleotide transfer RNA is filed under the name Ctenophorus caudicinctus macropus. RNAcentral describes it as "tRNA-Tyr". The record is from RNAcentral. Lineage: Eukaryota; Metazoa; Chordata; Lepidosauria; Squamata; Agamidae.
AAUUAUAGGCGGUGGGUUGUAAUUCCAUUUAUGGGGCUAAUCCCUUCUUUACA